GGGCGCAUAGCUCAGCUGGAUAGAGUACCUGGCUACGAACCAGGCGGUUGGAGGUUCACUCUUAGAAGAUACGUCCUGCGCCCACCA
Molecule: transfer RNA, 87 nt
Filed under: Pseudoalteromonas sp. SCSIO_11900
Lineage: Bacteria; Pseudomonadati; Pseudomonadota; Gammaproteobacteria; Alteromonadales; Pseudoalteromonadaceae
Description: tRNA-Arg
Rfam family: tRNA
About the family: Transfer RNA (tRNA) molecules are approximately 80 nucleotides in length.
Source: RNAcentral